GCCCAAGUAGUCUAAUGGUCAAGAUAGUGCAACCGUCACUUUCCUCCAACCUAAAUUUGAUAAACGCAACAGCUGCGCUGACCCAUGUUCGAAUUCUGGCCUGGGCA
Xylariaceae sp. FL1272 is the source of this 107-nucleotide non-coding RNA. NCBI's taxonomy places the organism in Eukaryota, Fungi, Ascomycota, Sordariomycetes, Xylariales, Xylariaceae. The record is from the annotation of a GenBank genome assembly.